Long non-coding RNA from Myotis brandtii (Brandt's bat), 701 nucleotides. RefSeq lists it as uncharacterized. The transcript has 2 exons. Lineage: Eukaryota; Metazoa; Chordata; Mammalia; Chiroptera; Vespertilionidae. The record is from RefSeq and is a predicted model, not a curated record.
GGGGACAGGGCGGAGGUCAGUGCUCGGGGAAGCAUCUGGACUCCUCAGUAAGGCUGACCAUUCACAGGCAAAGGCCCCAGAAACAGCAGCCGUUCCUAACAGCCUGGCGGACGCUGAGUGCUGGGGGACCCUGCAGGGCCAGAAAGCCAGGGCCCAGGAACCGAGGCCUCUGCGGGUCCAAUGCCCCCUCGCCAGGCCCCAGCCCCUCUCUGACAGCCCUGCCCCUGGGUGACCUGCAUCCAUCCAGGCCCCACCGGCUCAUCAAGCCGGGAACAGCAGACGUCUGUCUGCUCCAGGACACUGGGCCAGGCUGGCUCGAGGGCCUGUGGGGUCGGACAUAGUCAGGCUGGGGAGGUGAGCUCGAGGACGUCCCCUCUCGGCCAAUCUGUGCAGGCGGUUUCCUCAGACUCUAUCACCCCCACCUGCUCAGCAGGUAGCUCUCUCCUUGGACACCUCACUCCCGCUGAAGACCAUGCUGCCUGCAGCCGCCCGUGAUCCACAGGAGGCAUCCAGAUACCUGAACUGCAGCAGCCCACCUCCUGGCCCCUAGCACCCGGCCCCGGCCCCUCCCAUCUGCCCGACAGCUAUGCUGGGCCCUGUGCUCCAGGGCCACAGAGAGACCAGGUGGGAAGACGUGUGCUUUGCAGGACGCCUGGCCCGGCAUCAGGAGGGCCCCUCGCCUCAUCGUCCUCUGUCCAUUA